This 236-nucleotide ribosomal RNA is filed under the name uncultured bacterium. RNAcentral's name for it is "partial 16S ribosomal RNA". It matches the Rfam family "Bacterial small subunit ribosomal RNA", at positions 96 to 334 of the family's 1533-position model. The record is from RNAcentral.
UGGCGGACGGGUGAGUAAUGUCUGGGAAACUGCCCGAUGGAGGGGGAUAACUACUGGAAACGGUAGCUAAUACCGCAUAACGUCGCAAGACCAAAGCCGGGGGACCUCCGGGCCUCGCGCCAUCAGAUGAACCCAUAUGGGAUUAGCUAGUAGGUAAGGUAACGGCUCACCUAGGCGACGAUCCCUAGCUGGUCUGAGAGGGUGACCAGCCACACUGGAACUGAGACACGGUCCAG